This 73-nucleotide transfer RNA is filed under the name Vicugna pacos (alpaca). Its description in RNAcentral is "tRNA-Ala (GGC) (tRNA-Ala-GGC-11-1)". It matches the Rfam family "tRNA". Rfam says of the family: Transfer RNA (tRNA) molecules are approximately 80 nucleotides in length. Their secondary structure includes four short double-helical elements and three loops (D, anti-codon, and T loops). The record is from RNAcentral. Lineage: Eukaryota; Metazoa; Chordata; Mammalia; Artiodactyla; Camelidae.
GGAGGGUAUAGCUCAGUGGUAGAGCAUAUGCUUGGCAUGUAUGAGGUCCUGGGUUCAAUCCCCAGUACCUCCA